CAAGUGACCCCUGAGGCACACCCUCUGUGCAUCUCCAGAUGCAGGUAGCUGGUGAGCUGAAGGCAGAGCCCCGGAGUCUGCUGGCGGGAGUUGUGGCUACAGUGCUAGCUGUCCUCGGGCUGGGUGGCUCCUGCUAUGCUGUCUGGAAGAUGGUGGGGCAGCGGCGGGUGCCACGGGCCCCAUAACGAAGAGAGACUCUCACCUGGAUGCUGGGGGGCUCGACGCUCAGCUGCUUCAGCCUGGGAGAAAGAAAAACAGGAGUUGGGAGCUGACCAGGUGAGCGCCCUAUCUGCUGAACACCCAUCCAUCAAUCCUCUUCUUACUCCUUCAUACCUUUUCUUGUGGUCUUUGGAUCGGAAGUGGGUCUUCAGGUUGGCGGAAUCGAUGAAGUACCUCCUGUAGAGAUGGAAGUGAGAAGGAGAGUGAGGAGGUGAUAGUCUCCCAAGUACGCCUAUCUCCCUAGCCCUAGCUCGUCCCUGACGCCAGGAUCCGGGUCUAAGAAACGGGAGGCGGGCGGACCCACGGGUCCCAAGAGAGAAGACUCCGCGCGGCCUGGGGCUUGAACUUCACAUCUCCCGGCCGGUACCGCGGACCCUCCUCCGCCCCAGGCCGGGCUCGUC
RNAcentral lists this small RNA (620 nucleotides) under Pongo abelii (Sumatran orangutan). Its description in RNAcentral is "processed transcript". The record is from RNAcentral. Lineage: Eukaryota; Metazoa; Chordata; Mammalia; Primates; Hominidae.